AGAGUUUGAUCAUGGCUCAGGAUGAACGCUAGCGGUGUGCCUAAUGCAUGCAAGUCGAACGGGAUCCUUUGGAUUCGUCUAAAGGUGAGAGUGGCGGACGGGUGAGUAACGCGUUGGUGACCUGCCCCAGAGAGGGGGACAACCAUUGGAAACGAUGGCUAAUACCCCAGAUGUCAUCGUGUUUAGAAAACAAUGACUAACGCUCCGGCGCUCUGGGAGGGGCCUGCGUCCCAUCAGCUUGUUGGUAAGGUAAUGGCUUACCAAGGCAUAGACGGGUAGGGGGCUUGAGAGCGUGACCCCCCACACUGGUACUGAGACACGGACCAGAUACCUACGGGUAGCAGCAGCAAGGAAUAUUGCCCAAUGGACGAAAGUCUGAGGCAGCAACACCGCGUGGAGGACGAAGGCCUUCGGGUCGUAAACUCCUUUUCUGGGGGAAGAGAACGGACGGUACCCCAGGAAUAAGGCCCGGCUAACUACGUGCCAGCAGCCGCGGUAAAACGUAGGGUUCGAGCGUUAUCCGGAUUUACUGGGCGUAAAGAGCAUGUAGGCGGUUGUUUAAGUCGGACGUGAAAGCUCCUGGCUCAACUAGGAGAGGCCGUUCGAAACUGAAUAACUCGAGGAUGGUAGAGGAUAGUGGAAUUCCAGGUGUAGUGGUGAAAUGCGUAGAUAUCUGGAGGAACACCAGUGGCGAAGGCGGCUAUCUGGGCCAUUCCUGACGCUGAGAUGCGAAAGCUAGGGGAGAGAACGGGAUUAGAAACCCCGGUAUUCCUAGCCGUAAACGAUGUCAACUAGGUGUAGGAGGUAUUGACCCCUUCUGUGCUGCAGCUAACGCGAUAAGUUGACCGCCUGGGGACUACGGCCGCAAGGCUAAAACUCAAAGGAAUUGACGGG
Molecule: ribosomal RNA, 894 nt
Filed under: uncultured bacterium
Lineage: Bacteria
Description: bacterial SSU rRNA
Rfam family: Bacterial small subunit ribosomal RNA
Source: RNAcentral